RNAcentral lists this ribosomal RNA (549 nucleotides) under Colletotrichum boninense. RNAcentral describes it as "eukaryotic LSU rRNA". The stretch from base 180 to 333 matches the Rfam family "5.8S ribosomal RNA". Lineage: Eukaryota; Fungi; Ascomycota; Sordariomycetes; Glomerellales; Glomerellaceae. The record is from RNAcentral.
CUUACCCUUUGUGAACAUACCUACAACUGUUUGCUUCGGCGGGUAGGCCGUCCCCUGAAAAGGACGCCUCCCGGCCGGGUACCGGACCCCCUGGUGGGGCCGGACCCGGCGCCCGCCGGAGGAUAACCAAACGCUAUUUUAACGACGUUUCUUCUGAGUGGCAUAAGCAAAAUAAUCAAAACUUUUAACAACGGAUCUCUUGGUUCUGGCAUCGAUGAAGAACGCAGCGAAAUGCGAUAAGUAAUGUGAAUUGCAGAAUUCAGUGAAUCAUCGAAUCUUUGAACGCACAUUGCGCCCGCCAGCAUUCUGGCGGGCAUGCCUGUUCGAGCGUCAUUUCAACCCUCAAGCUCUGCUUGGUGUUGGGGCUCUACGGUCGACGUAGGCCCUCAAAGGUAGUGGCGGACCCUCCCGGAGCCUCCUUUGCGUAGUAACAUUUCGUCUCGCACUGGGAUCCGGAGGGACUCUUGCCGUAAAACCCCCCAAUUUUUCAAGGUUGACCUCGGAUCAGGUAGGAAUACCCGCUGAACUUAAGCAUAUCAAUAAGGCGGA